UACAGAGGGCUCAAGCGUUGCUCGGAUUCAUUGGGCGUAAAGGGUGCGUAGGCGGCGUGGUAGGUCGGGUGUGAAAUCUCGGAGCUUAACCCCGAAACUGCAUUCGAUACUGCCGUGCUUGAGGACUGGAGAGGAGACUGGAAUUUACGGUGUAGCGGUGAAAUGCGUAGAUAUCGGAAGGAAGACCAGUGGCGAAGGCGGUUCUCUGGGCCGAUACUGACGCUGAGGAGCGAAAGCGUGGGGAGCGAACAGG
This 253-nucleotide ribosomal RNA is filed under the name uncultured bacterium. RNAcentral's name for it is "partial 16S ribosomal RNA". It matches the Rfam family "Bacterial small subunit ribosomal RNA", at positions 524 to 776 of the family's 1533-position model. The record is from RNAcentral.